UACGUGGGUGGCAAGCGUUGUUCGGAAUCACUGGGCGUAAAGGGCGCGUAGGCGGGGAGGUAAGUCGGGUGUGAAAUCCCUCGGGCCAACCGAGGAACGGCGUCCGAGACUGCUUCUCUUGAGGCCCGGAUAGGAAGGUGGUAUUCCCGGUGUAGCGGUGAAAUGUGUAGAGAUCGGGAGGAACACCUGUGGCGAAGGCGGCCUUCUGGACGGUGACUGACGCUGAGGCGCGAAAGCGUGGGGAGCAAACGGGAUUAGAUACCCCGGUAGUCCACGCUGUAAACGAUGGGUGCUAGGUGUGGGGGGUAUCGACCCCUCCCGUGCCGAAGCUAACGCAUUAAGCACCCCGCCUGGGGAGUACGGCCGCAAGGUUGAAACUUAAAGGAAUUGACGG
This 394-nucleotide ribosomal RNA is filed under the name uncultured bacterium. RNAcentral describes it as "bacterial SSU rRNA". It matches the Rfam family "Bacterial small subunit ribosomal RNA", at positions 524 to 916 of the family's 1533-position model. The record is from RNAcentral.